GAUGAACGCUGACAGAAUGCUUAACACAUGCAAGUCGACUCGAGUCUUCGGACUUGGGUGGCGCACGGGUGAGUAACGCGUAAAGAACUUGCCUCUUAGACCGGGACAACAUCUGGAAACGGAUGCUAAUACCGGAUAUUAUGGUUUUUUCGCAUGGAGGAAUCAUGAAAGCUAGAUGCGCUAAGAGAGAGCUUUGCGUCCCAUUAGCUAGUUGGUGAGGUAACGGCCCACCAAGGCAAUGAUGGGUAGCCGGCCUGAGAGGGUGAACGGCCACAAGGGGACUGAGACACGGCCCUUACUCCUACGGGAGGCAGCAGUGGGGAAUAUUGGACAAUGGACCACAAGUCUGAUCCAGCAAUUCUGUGUGCACGAUGACGUUUUUCGGAAUGUAAAGUGCUUUCAGUCGGGAAGAAGUCAGUGACGGUACCGACAGAAGAAGCGACGGCUAAAUACGUGCCAGCAGCCGCGGUAAUACGUAUGUCGCAAGCGUUAUCCGGAUUUAUUGGGCGUAAAGCGCGUCUAGGCGGCAAGGAAAGUCUGAUGUGAAAAUGCGGAGCUCAACUCCGUAUGGCGUUGGAAACUGCCUUACUAGAGUACUGGAGAGGUGGGCGGAACUACAAGUGUAGAGGUGAAAUUCGUAGAUAUUUGUAGGAAUGCCGAUGGGGAAGCCAGCCUACUGGACAGAUACUGACGCUAAAGCGCGAAAGCGUGGGUAGCAAACAGG
This 724-nucleotide ribosomal RNA is filed under the name uncultured bacterium. RNAcentral describes it as "bacterial SSU rRNA". It matches the Rfam family "Bacterial small subunit ribosomal RNA", at positions 28 to 776 of the family's 1533-position model. The record is from RNAcentral.